This 253-nucleotide ribosomal RNA is filed under the name uncultured bacterium. Its description in RNAcentral is "partial 16S ribosomal RNA". It matches the Rfam family "Bacterial small subunit ribosomal RNA", at positions 524 to 776 of the family's 1533-position model. The record is from RNAcentral.
UACGAAGGGGGCUAGCGUUGCUCGGAAUCACUGGGCGUAAAGGGUGCGUAGGCGGGUCUUUAAGUCCGGGGUGAAAUCCUGGAGCUCAACUCCAGAACUGCCUUUGAUACUGAGGAUCUUGAGUACGGGAGAGGUGAGUGGAACUGCGAGUGUAGAGGUGAAAUUCGUAGAUAUUCGCAAGAACACCAGUGGCGAAGGCGGCUCACUGGCCCGUAACUGACGCUGAGGCACGAAAGCGUGGGGAGCAAACAGG